RNAcentral lists this ribosomal RNA (1601 nucleotides) under metagenome. RNAcentral describes it as "bacterial LSU rRNA". It matches the Rfam family "Bacterial large subunit ribosomal RNA", at positions 1343 to 2925 of the family's 2925-position model. The record is from RNAcentral.
GACCAAGGGUUCCUGCGCAACGUUAAUCGACGCAGGGUUAGUCGGUUCCUAAGGCGAGGCUGAAAAGCGUAGUCGAUGGGAAACAGGUUAAUAUUCCUGUACUUCUGGUUACUGCGAUGGAGGGACGGAGAAGGCUAGGCCAGCUUGGCGUUGGUUGUCCAAGUUUAAGGUGGUAGGCUGAAAUCUUAGGUAAAUCCGGGGUUUCAAGGCCGAGAGCUGAUGACGAGUCGUCUUUUAGAUGACGAAGUGGUUGAUGCCAUGCUUCCAAGAAAAGCUACUAAGCUUCAGGUAACCAGGAACCGUACCCCAAACCGACACAGGUGGUCGGGUAGAGAAUACCAAGGCGCUUGAGAGAACUCGGGUGAAGGAACUAGGCAAAAUGGCACCGUAACUUCGGGAGAAGGUGCGCCGGCUAGGGUGAAGGAUUUACUCCGUAAGCUCUGGCUGGUCGAAGAUACCAGGCCGCUGCGACUGUUUAUUAAAAACACAGCACUCUGCAAACACGAAAGUGGACGUAUAGGGUGUGACGCCUCCCCGGUGCCGGAAGGUUAAUUGAUGGGGUUAGCGCAAGCGAAGCUCUUGAUCGAAGCCCCGGUAAACGGCGGCCGUAACAAUAACGGUCCUAAGGUAGCGAAAUUCCUUGUCGGGUAAGUUCCGACCUGCACGAAUGGCGUAACGAUGGCGGCGCUGUCUCCACCCGAGACUCAGUGAAAUUGAAAUCGCUGUGAAGAUGCAGUGUAUCCGCGGCUAGACGGAAAGACCCCGUGAACCUUUACUGUAGCUUUGCACUGGACUUUGAGCCUGCUUGUGUAGGAUAGGUGGGAGGCUUUGAAGCGUGGACGCCAGUUCGCGUGGAGCCAUCCUUGAAAUACCACCCUGGCAUGCUUGAGGUUCUAACUCUGGUCCGUAAUCCGGAACGAGGACAGUGUAUGGUGGGCAGUUUGACUGGGGCGGUCUCCUCCUAAAGAGUAACGGAGGAGUACGAAGGUGCGCUCAGACCGGUCGGAAAUCGGUCGCAGAGUAUAAAGGCAAAAGCGCGCUUGACUGCGAGACAGACACGUCGAGCAGGUACGAAAGUAGAUCUUAGUGGUCCGGUGGUUCUGUAUGGAAGGGCCAUCGCUCAACGGAUAAAAGGUACUCCGGGGAUAACAGGCUGAUACCGCCCAAGAGUUCAUAUCGACGGCGGUGUUUGGCACCUCGAUGUCGGCUCAUCACAUCCUGGGGCUGAAGCCGGUCCCAAGGGUAUGGCUGUUCGCCAUUUAAAGUGGUACGCGAGCUGGGUUUAGAACGUCGUGAGACAGUUCGGUCCCUAUCUGCCGUGGACGUUUGAGAUUUGAGAGGGGCUGCUCCUAGUACGAGAGGACCGGAGUGGACGAACCUCUGGUGUUCCGGUUGUCACGCCAGUGGCAUUGCCGGGUAGCUAUGUUCGGAAAAGAUAACCGCUGAAAGCAUCUAAGCGGGAAACUUGCCUCAAGAUGAGAUCUCACUGGGAACUUGAUUCCCCUGAAGGGCCGUCGAAGACUACGACGUUGAUAGGCUGGGUGUGUAAGCGUUGUGAGGCGUUGAGCUAACCAGUACUAAUUGCCCGUGAGGCUUGACCU